Molecule: ribosomal RNA, 1197 nt
Filed under: Triticum aestivum (bread wheat)
Lineage: Eukaryota; Viridiplantae; Streptophyta; Magnoliopsida; Poales; Poaceae
Description: partial small subunit ribosomal RNA
Source: RNAcentral
AUGAGCCUCGGCCAGCUCGACGAGCACGGGUGCAAGUCCGUGAUCGAGGACGGCGUGCUCUGCCUCUACGACAGGCAGUGCGUGCUCUUGGCACGGGUGCAGCGGACGAGCAACCGGCUCUACGCCGUGGCUCUGAACUUGGCUGCGCCCGUGUGCCUCCUGGCGCAUGGCGGUGACGAAGCGUGGCAUUGGCAUGGACGUUUCGGCCACCUCCACUUCCGGGAGCUGCACGAUCUUGGCGCGAAGGGGAUGGUGCGUGGCAUGCCAGCGAUUCAGCAUGUCGAACAGUUCUGCGAGGGCUGCACACUCGGGAAGAUGCACUGUACGCCGUUCCCGCGCACGUCAAUGUACCGUGCGGAGCAGGGGCUCGAGCUCGUCCACGGCGACCUCUGCGGACCCAUCACGCCGGCGACCACGUCUGGUAACAAGUAUUUUCUGCUCAUCGUUGACGAUCACAGUAGAUAUAUGUGGUUGGAAGUGCUCAGGAGCAAGGACGAGGCGUUCAAAUUCUUCAGAAAGAUCAAAGCAGCUGCGGAGACACAGUGCGGCGCGAAGCUCAGAGCGUUCCAGACCGACCGCGGCGGGGAGUUCAACUCGAAUGAGUUCACCGCGUACUGCAAUGAGCUUGGCAUCCUAAGGAACACGACGACUCCGUAUUCUCCCCAACAGAAUGGAGUCGUCGAGCGCCGCAACCAGUCCGUGGUCGAGAUGGCUCGCAGCCUGAUGAAAAGCAUGGGCGUGCCGAGCACAUUCUGGGGCGAGGCGGUGCGCACGGCGGUGCACUUCCUCAACCGCUCGCCGACGAGGAGUCUACAGGGCAUGACACCCUAUGAGGCGUGGCGCAAGAAGAAGCCCACGGUCGAUUACUUCCGCACGUUCGGCUGCGUUGCGCACGUCAAGCUCGUCGGCCCCGGUGUGACCAAGCUCGCGGACAGGUCACGACCGGGAAUAUUUCUAGGCUAUGAGGCGGGCACCAAGGGCUAUUGGGUGUACGACCCGAUCGGCAAGCGCUUGUACAUCACGCGAGAUGUGCGUUUCGAAGAGGACCAGCGCUGGGACUAGAGCAAGGAUGGCGGCGACUCGGAGCGCACGCACCAGUUCACGGUCGUGUACUCCGACGCGGGCGUGCCCACAACCACGACCUACUCCCUGUCACCGGACCCGGCGACGUCACCUGGCGCACCAACGACGCCAACU